Molecule: ribosomal RNA, 214 nt
Filed under: Blautia obeum
Lineage: Bacteria; Bacillati; Bacillota; Clostridia; Lachnospirales; Lachnospiraceae
Description: partial 16S ribosomal RNA
Rfam family: Bacterial small subunit ribosomal RNA
Source: RNAcentral
UUUAUCAGAGAGUUUGAUCCUGGCUCAGGAUGAACGCUGGCGGCGUGCUUAACACAUGCAAGUCGAACGGGAAACUUUUCAUUGAAGCUUCGGCAGAUUUGGUCUGUUUCUAGUGGCGGACGGGUGAGUAACGCGUGGGUAACCUGCCUUAUACAGGGGGAUAACAACCAGAAAUGGUUGCUAAUACCGCAUAAGCGCACAGGACCGCAUGGUC